GUCACGGCCGACGCUGGUCAAAGUGUAGCACCUGCUCUUAUCAGCUUAAUAUCCGAUACGGGUAGUAUUUGGACCUAAGAUAACAAACUUAUUUUUGCAAGUUGGCGGGGAGCUUAAAGCCUGCAUCACCUCUGCCGCGGGUCGGUCCGGUAUUGUACUAUCUUCUGGAUCGGCUGUUAAGAA
Molecule: small nuclear RNA, 183 nt
Organism: Dermacentor albipictus
Lineage: Eukaryota; Metazoa; Arthropoda; Arachnida; Ixodida; Ixodidae
Product: U2 spliceosomal RNA
Source: RefSeq, a predicted model, not a curated record